RNAcentral lists this ribosomal RNA (406 nucleotides) under uncultured bacterium. Its description in RNAcentral is "partial 16S ribosomal RNA". It matches the Rfam family "Bacterial small subunit ribosomal RNA", at positions 30 to 526 of the family's 1533-position model. The record is from RNAcentral.
AUUGAACGCUGGCGGCAGGCCUAACACAUGCAAGUCGAACGAGUGGCGGACGGGUGAGUAAUGUCUGGGAAACUGCCUGAUGGAGGGGGAUAACUACUGGAAACGGUAGCUAAUACCGCAUACCAUCGGAUGUGCCCAGAUGGGCUUCGCUAGUAGGUGGGGUAACGGCUCACCUAGGCGACGAUCCCGAGGUGGUCUGAGAGGAUGACCAGCCACACUGGAACUGUGACACGGUCCAUACGCCUACGGGAGGCAGCAGUGGGGAAUAUUGCACAAUGGGCGCAAGCCUGAUGCAGCCAGGCCGCGUGUAUGAAGAAGGCCUUCGGGUUGUAAAGUACUUUCAGCGGGGAGGCGUUACCCGCAGAAGAAGCACCGGCUAACUCCGUGCCAGCAGCCGCGGUAAUAC